RNAcentral lists this transfer RNA (73 nucleotides) under Parcubacteria bacterium C7867-007. Its description in RNAcentral is "tRNA-Phe". It matches the Rfam family "tRNA". From Rfam's summary of the family: Transfer RNA (tRNA) molecules are approximately 80 nucleotides in length. Their secondary structure includes four short double-helical elements and three loops (D, anti-codon, and T loops). Further hydrogen bonds mediate the characteristic L-shaped molecular structure. tRNAs have two regions of fundamental functional importance: the anti-codon, which is responsible for specific mRNA codon recognition, and the 3' end, to which the tRNAs corresponding amino acid is attached (by aminoacyl-tRNA synthetases). tRNAs cope with the degeneracy of the genetic code in two manners: having more than one tRNA (with a specific anti-codon) for a particular amino acid; and 'wobble' base-pairing, i.e. permitting non-standard base-pairing at the 3rd anti-codon position. RNAcentral also lists the same sequence under 1 other name. The record is from RNAcentral. Lineage: Bacteria; Candidatus Parcubacteria.
GCUUGGGUAGCUCAGUUGGUAGAGCGUUCCCCUGAAGAGGGAAGGGUCCCCGGUUCAAAUCCGGGCCCAAGCA